UACGUAGGGCGCAAGCGUUGUCCGGAAUUAUUGGGCGUAAAGAGCUCGUAGGCGGUUUGUUGCGUCUGCCGUGAAAACCCGAGGCUUAACCUCGGGCUGGCGGUGGAUACGGGCAGACUAGAGGUAGGUAGGGGAGAAUGGAAUUCCUGGUGUAGCAGUGAAAUGCGUAGAUAUCAGGAGGAAUACCGAUGGCGAAGGCAGGUCUCUGGGCUGACACUGACGCUCAUGCACGAAAGCGUGGGGAGCAAACAGG
Molecule: ribosomal RNA, 253 nt
Filed under: uncultured bacterium
Lineage: Bacteria
Description: partial 16S ribosomal RNA
Rfam family: Bacterial small subunit ribosomal RNA
Source: RNAcentral